Vigna angularis (adzuki bean) is the source of this 2870-nucleotide long non-coding RNA. RefSeq lists it as uncharacterized. The transcript is spliced from 2 exons. The record is from RefSeq and is a predicted model, not a curated record. Lineage: Eukaryota; Viridiplantae; Streptophyta; Magnoliopsida; Fabales; Fabaceae.
UUUCUAUUCUCUUUAUUCUACUUUCUCUUUUUUCAAUUCUCGUUCUUUCUUCUUUUUCCUUCUUUCGCAAAUUUGAUCAGCAUGUGAGAAAGCACUAAUGCUCUAGAGAGAAACAUAUUUAGGGUUUUUAAGACUAGGGUUUAAGGUGAGUUAUAGGAGAGGAAAUUCGAGGAAGAGGGACUUAAUACUGAGGCUGUGAGCGUUCUUGGAUGGGAGUUUGGUGGAACCUAUAAAAGGGGACAAAUUGUGUGAAAAAAGGACAACAAUAAAAGUUGCAAACCAUGCCUAUGCAUCUUAGAAAGCUUGACAAAGCAAGAGAAAGCAAGGAAGGCAAAGAGGAGUGCAAUUUCAACCAUUGUGACGCCCAACGUUUUUUGUGCAGCUUUAUGUUUUCAACACGUGAUUGAUUAGCUGGCUUCUGAAACUUGCACACCGAGCUUUGUACUUCUCCAAACACACUUCGUUUGUAUUUUUAGAAGCUUGCAAGGUAAGUUUCAGAGUCCUCUCUUCAUCUAUAAAAGGGAGGCUCUUCUCCUUUGUAAAGGGAACUUGAAUGUUAUAAAGAAACGCUGCUGAGAUUCUUCCAGCCAUCUUUGCUUCGAGUUCAUUGUCUUGUGCCUCUUUAGCACGUCCUCCUCUAGCUUCCUUCUCCUUUCGAAGGCUGUUUGAGCUUGAGAUACACUAUACACACAUCCAAACUCCACAAAACCUUAAAUCAAACACUUGGCGCGCGUCUAAACUUCCAUCAUUCUCCUCCAAUCCGCUGCUGCAUUCUGGUUCGUGGAGCACUCUCGCUUGAAGUGUGGAGUUGUACCUAUCAUUUGGAAUCAAGAGCCAGCACGUCCAUGCAUUGCUUCAAGAGCUAAGUUGCUCUUAACUUCAUUUUCUUACUUUCGUGUUGUGUUGUUCCAGUUUUGUCCAUGUGUUUGAAUUUGUUUUCACUUCUGCUUUGGCUUAAAUUCGCGUUUGUUAUUGAUGUUCGUGUUCCUUGAGUUUUCCUUAGUGUUUGUUCAUCAUUUUAAUCGGUGCAAUUCAUUUGUUUGAGUUUCAUUCCAACUUUAAUUUCCAUUUUCCAGUUUUGUCACGUCAUGUGCCUUUUGUGCAAUUUUCACUUCUGUCAGUAUGUGUUUGAAUCUGUUUCAGCUUUCAUUUUUCAUUUUAAUUCGUGUUCAGUGCAUUUGAUAGCUAUAUAUUGAUCAUAUAAAACAAUGAUAUAUUGUCUAGCUUUGAUCAAAAGAGCUUAGACCAUUGACCGAGAGUUUUCAGUUUCAAAAAUCUGCAUUAAAAUGCAUUUUUAGUUUAAUAUGAUCCAAUCUGUUUCUGUCCAGAUUUCAUGUUUCUCAACCUUUGUGCAAGUUUGUUUAAUGUUGUUAAACAUGUUUCAAGGAGUAGCAACUCAUAAUAAUAACAUAAUUGCAAAAUGUAUAGUCGAGUUGAUCAAAAUCUGGUAAAAUAGUGUUGUCAUUGUUUUCAGUCUAGUGUUUGCAUCGUGCUUACUGUCCUUGCUUGUUUUAGGUCACUCAAACUCUGCUAGCUAAUAUUCUGUAGCUAGAUCUAGUUGAAUAGGACCUUUCUUAAACAUUUGUUGAUCUAUCCAGCUUUGAAUCUUCUAAAUUUUCCAUUAUGUUGUAGUUUUGGUUCAUUUUUUCUGCAAUUUUAAGCAAUUGCUACUAUCAAUUGCUAAUUCUAUUUGUUUCAGUGUCGUCUAAACAUUUGUGCACAUGUAUUUUACCAUUUGAAAGCCGUGUGUACUGUUCAUUUGGUCAGUUUUGACCAUAUAGGCAAAAUUAUAAUCCAAACCAUCAAAGUUGCUUGAAAUUGAAAGUGGACCACUGAUUUUCUGGUGUAAUCUGUUUCUUGGCUAUUUAAGUGUUUGCACACAUCCAAUUUGAUGAUAUAAAUUUGCUUGAAAUCUCAAUUGAGCCUUAGAAACACUACCACUCAUUUUUUCCAGUGAAAGCACCAUUUUCCAACUCAUUUUUUGGUGCAGCUUGAUAAUCAUGUGCUGUUUGAAAUUUGCCAAACUUUAAUCUUCAUUGGAUUGGCAAAAGCUGGUUUCAAGUUUCCAAAUGCAAUGAUAUGAUUAAAAAAGUGUAAAACAUCAAGAAAAAGAAAAAGAAAACCAAGCAAUCCAAUUUUGACCAUCAAAAUCGAAAAUACCACAAUUCUGCAUUUUUUUGGGACAUUUUGUCAAACAAUUUGGCUUUUUCAUCAAACAUUUUCACUGCACUUGUUUGUGAUCUUCGUUUUGAGUUUUUCUUGUUUGUUUAAUCUAUUCUAGAUCCUAUCCUAGGUUCCUUUUGUGUUCCUUCUUUUAUUCCAGCCUUUAAGUCCUUUGAAUUCAACAUUUUUGGCUUCCAAAUGUGCUUUGCAAUCUGUUUUCAGUAUUAAAAAUAUGGUGCAAAACAAGUGUUUUUGUGCUCACUGUUUGCUGGUUUGUUUGGCUGUUGUGACAUCUUGGUAACGUUUAUGAAGUCCAGACACCUUGCUCCAAGGGGGUAGCAUCUUAGGGAGUGGAAGAUUUUUUAAAUUGGCAACAAGCGUGCAGCUCAAAGCUAUACUUCUUUUGCUGGUUCAGCAGCACUUCUACACCAAACACAACACAUUUUCUCACCAAUUUGGAACUGCACAAGACAACAACUGCAAAUUCACUUGUCUUGUUGUAUUUUACACAUAGUUUCAUGUAUUUUUGAAUCAUUGUAUCACAGAACAUUUGUAGUUUAAUUGUUUUACAUUUGCAACUUAAGUGGCUUGGGAAUAUGCUUUUCAAGCAAUUCCAAGUGCACAUUUGAACAUUGUAAUAGUCUAGUCUCCGCAUCUUAGUGUGAAAGUGUGUCAAGAGGCUCCAAGUGUCACUUGCACUUUCACUU